This 208-nucleotide ribosomal RNA is filed under the name uncultured bacterium. Its description in RNAcentral is "partial 16S ribosomal RNA". It matches the Rfam family "Bacterial small subunit ribosomal RNA", at positions 524 to 725 of the family's 1533-position model. The record is from RNAcentral.
GACGUAGGGCGCGAGCGUUGUCCGGAUUUAUUGGGCGUAAAGAGCUCGUAGGCGGCUUGUCGCGUCGAAUGUGAAAACCCACAGCUCAACUGUGGGCUUGCAUUCGAUACGGGCAGGCUCGAGUUCGGUAGGGGAGACUGGAAUUCCUGGUGUAGCGGUGAAAUGCGCAGAUAUCAGGAGGGAAACCAGCCGGUGGGCGGAAGGCGGG